UACAGAGGGGGCAAGCGUUGUUCGGAAUUACUGGGCGUAAAGGGCGCGUAGGCGGCCCGCUAAGUCGAACGUGAAAUCCCCGAGCUCAACUCGGGAACUGCGUCCGAUACUGGUGGGCUUGAAUCCGGGAGAGGGAUGCGGAAUUCCAGGUGUAGCGGUGAAAUGCGUAGAUAUCUGGAGGAACACCGGUGGCGAAGGCGGCAUCCUGGACCGACAUUGACGCUGAGGAGCGAAAGCUAGGGGAGCAAACGGG
This 253-nucleotide ribosomal RNA is filed under the name uncultured bacterium. Its description in RNAcentral is "partial 16S ribosomal RNA". It matches the Rfam family "Bacterial small subunit ribosomal RNA", at positions 524 to 776 of the family's 1533-position model. The record is from RNAcentral.